UGGGGUAGGCCUCAGUGAUAGAGUAUGUGCUUAGCAUGCACGAGAUCCUGGGUUCAAUUCUCAGUACCUCCA
Molecule: transfer RNA, 72 nt
Filed under: Camelus bactrianus (Bactrian camel)
Lineage: Eukaryota; Metazoa; Chordata; Mammalia; Artiodactyla; Camelidae
Also listed under: 2 other names
Rfam family: tRNA
About the family: Transfer RNA (tRNA) molecules are approximately 80 nucleotides in length.
Source: Rfam by way of RNAcentral